RNAcentral lists this ribosomal RNA (274 nucleotides) under uncultured bacterium. RNAcentral describes it as "partial 16S ribosomal RNA". It matches the Rfam family "Bacterial small subunit ribosomal RNA", at positions 523 to 796 of the family's 1533-position model. The record is from RNAcentral.
AUACGGAGGGUGCAAGCGUUAUCCGGAAUCAUUGGGUUUAAAGGGUCCGUAGGCGGUCUAUUAAGUCAGAGGUGAAAUCCCACAGCUCAACUGUGGAACUGCCUUUGAUACUGGUAGACUUGAGUUACAGUGAAGUAGAUAGAAUGUGUAGUGUAGCGGUGAAAUGCAUAGAGAUUACACAGAAUACCGAUUGCGAAGGCAGUCUACUAACUGUAUACUGACGCUGAUGGACGAAAGCGUGGGGAGCGAACAGGAUUAGAAACCCUAGUAGUCC